This 252-nucleotide ribosomal RNA is filed under the name uncultured bacterium. Its description in RNAcentral is "partial 16S ribosomal RNA". It matches the Rfam family "Bacterial small subunit ribosomal RNA", at positions 524 to 776 of the family's 1533-position model. The record is from RNAcentral.
UACGUAGGUGACAAGCGUUGUCCGGAUUUACUGGGCGUAAGGAGCGCGCAGGCGGUCGUCAAGUCGAGUGUGAAAGCCCCCGGCUCAACUGGGGAGGGUCAUUCGAUACUGAUCGACUCGAAGGCAGGAGAGGGUAGUGGAAUUCCCGGUGUAGUGGUGAAAUGCGUAGAUAUCGGGAGGAACACCAGUGGCGAAGGCGACUACCUGGCCUGUUCUUGACGCUGAGGCGCGAAAGCUAGGGGAGCAAACGGG